This 74-nucleotide transfer RNA is filed under the name subsurface metagenome. RNAcentral's name for it is "tRNA-Met". It matches the Rfam family "tRNA". Rfam says of the family: Transfer RNA (tRNA) molecules are approximately 80 nucleotides in length. Their secondary structure includes four short double-helical elements and three loops (D, anti-codon, and T loops). Further hydrogen bonds mediate the characteristic L-shaped molecular structure. tRNAs have two regions of fundamental functional importance: the anti-codon, which is responsible for specific mRNA codon recognition, and the 3' end, to which the tRNAs corresponding amino acid is attached (by aminoacyl-tRNA synthetases). tRNAs cope with the degeneracy of the genetic code in two manners: having more than one tRNA (with a specific anti-codon) for a particular amino acid; and 'wobble' base-pairing, i.e. permitting non-standard base-pairing at the 3rd anti-codon position. The record is from RNAcentral.
GGGCUCGUAGCUCAGUGGUUAGAGCGGUCGGCUCAUAACCGAUUGGUCGCAGGUUCGAAUCCUGCCGAGCCCAC